UGGCUUCUAUGACCUCUAGAUCCUUCUUCCCUUUAUCUUGUUGUUCAGCAUAGGUUCUCCACUCAACAACUUCACGAGCCCUUUGCUUAGCAGAAAAAUAAAAGAACUAGUUCUCUGCAUCAAACCAGAUUUUUUGGAAAGAGCUGCUUCUGUUUUAUUGGACUUGUGGGGAAGACUAUCAAGAAAAUGCCAAUCCACCUCUCUUAAAGCAAUACAUGAUAUCUUAAAGUUGCAAAUUUUAGCGAGGAUUGCAUUCGCUCAACACUGGAAAAGUGAAGAACUACCC
Long non-coding RNA from Varanus komodoensis (Komodo dragon), 286 nucleotides. RefSeq lists it as uncharacterized. The record is from RefSeq and is a predicted model, not a curated record. The transcript is spliced from 3 exons. NCBI's taxonomy places the organism in Eukaryota, Metazoa, Chordata, Lepidosauria, Squamata, Varanidae.